AUUGAACGCUGGCGGCAGGCCUAACACGUGCAAGUCGAACGGUAGCACAGAGAGCUUGCUCUCGGGUGACGAGUGGCGGACGGGUGAGUAAUGUCUGGGAAACUGCCCGAUGGAGGGGGAUAACUACUGGAAACGGUAGCUAAUACCGCAUAACGUCUUCGGACCAAAGUGGUGGACCUUCGGGCCUCACACCAUCGGAUGUGCCCAGAUGGGAUGAGCUAGUAGGUGGGGUAAUGGCUCACCUAGGCGACGAUCCCUAGCUGGUCUGAAAGGAUGACCAGCCACACUGGAACUGAGACACGGUCCAGACUCCUACGGGAGGCAGCAGUGGGGAAUAUUGCACAAUGGGCGCAAGCCUGAUGCAGCCAUGCCGCGUGUAUGAAGAAGGCCUUCGGGUUGUAAAGUACUUUCAGCGGGGAGGAAGGCGAUGUGGUUAAUAACCGCAUCGAUUGACGUUACCCGCAGAAGAAGCCCCGGCUAACUUCGUGCCAGCCGCCGCGGUAA
RNAcentral lists this ribosomal RNA (504 nucleotides) under uncultured bacterium. RNAcentral's name for it is "partial 16S ribosomal RNA". It matches the Rfam family "Bacterial small subunit ribosomal RNA", at positions 30 to 523 of the family's 1533-position model. The record is from RNAcentral.